This 72-nucleotide transfer RNA is filed under the name Ixodes scapularis (black-legged tick). RNAcentral's name for it is "tRNA-Ser for anticodon GGA". Lineage: Eukaryota; Metazoa; Arthropoda; Arachnida; Ixodida; Ixodidae. The record is from RNAcentral.
UCCUCUUUAGCCCAGUUGGUAGAGCGCUCCAUUGGAAAUGAGAGGUCCUUGGUUCGAUACCAGGACCAGGCG